This 406-nucleotide ribosomal RNA is filed under the name uncultured bacterium. RNAcentral describes it as "partial 16S ribosomal RNA". It matches the Rfam family "Bacterial small subunit ribosomal RNA", at positions 30 to 526 of the family's 1533-position model. The record is from RNAcentral.
AUUGAACGCUGGCGGCAGGCUUAACACAUGCAAGUCGAGCGAGCGGCGGACGGGUGAGUAAUUUCUGGGAAACUGCCUGAUGGAGGGGGAUAACUACUGGAAACGGUAGCUAAUACCGCAUACCAUCAGAUGUGCCCAGAUGGGAUUAGCUAGUAGGUGGGGUAAUGGCUCACCUAGGCGACGAUCCCUAGCUGGUCUGAGAGGAUGACCAGCCACACUGGAACUGAGACACGGUCCAGACUCCUACGGGAGGCAGCAGUGGGGAAUAUUGCACAAUGGGCGCAAGCCUGAUGCAGCCAUGCCGCGUGUGUGAAGAAGGCCUUCGGGUUGUAAAGCACUUUCAGGGAGGAGGCGGAACAUGGAGAAGAAGCAACGGCUAACUACGUGACAGCAGCCGCGGUAAUAC